GGGCGCUUCGAGGAUGACCUCGUGACUCUUUUAAACGCCCCCAAAACUAUUUUGCCGAACCUUUUCAUAGUGCAAUGCUUGCACCAGUGGAUAGCUAGCUUGGAUAGGUGAUUUUUUUUGUGAGGUUUCUGCUGGUGAUUGGUUGGAAAUAGCAAAGAUGUGAAAGUGUUGCUUGGAGAGUGAAGAUGGAAGUGAUGAAGUGAAGUGAGAAUGGGUGGAGAGGGCCACACCCGAACCCCUGGUAUUUAUAGUUUGAAAAUGCAGGUGGAUUCGGGGUGAGGGCAACGGCU
Molecule: long non-coding RNA, 290 nt
Filed under: Sorghum bicolor (sorghum)
Lineage: Eukaryota; Viridiplantae; Streptophyta; Magnoliopsida; Poales; Poaceae
Description: long non-coding RNA (SBIC_LNC013718)
Source: RNAcentral